AUGAACGCUGGCGGCGUGCCUAAUACAUGCAAGUCGCGCGAACGGACGAGAAGCUUGCUUCUCUGAUGUUAGCGGCGGACGGGUGAGUAACACGUGGAUAACCUACCUAUAAGACUGGGAUAACUUCGGGAAACCGUAGCUAAUACCGGAUAAUAUUUUGAACCGCAUGGUUCAAAAGUGAAAGACGGUCUUGCUGUCACUUAUAGAUGGAUCCGCGCUGCAUUAGCUAGUUGGUAAGGUAACGGCUUACCAAGGCAACGAUGCAUAGCCGACCUGAGAGGGUGAUCGGCCACACUGGAACUGAGACACGGUCCAGACUCCUACGGGAGGCAGCAGUAGGGAAUCUUCCGCAAUGGGCGAAAGCCUGACGGAGCAACGCCGCGUGAGUGAUAAAGGUCUUCGGAUCGUAAAACUCUGUUAUUAGGGAAGAACAUAUGUGUAAGUAACUGUGCACAUCUUGACGGUACCUAAUCAGAAAGCCACGGCUAACUACGUG
Molecule: ribosomal RNA, 496 nt
Filed under: uncultured bacterium
Lineage: Bacteria
Description: partial 16S ribosomal RNA
Rfam family: Bacterial small subunit ribosomal RNA
Source: RNAcentral